RNAcentral lists this signal recognition particle RNA (95 nucleotides) under Alphaproteobacteria bacterium. RNAcentral's name for it is "signal recognition particle sRNA small type". It matches the Rfam family "Bacterial small signal recognition particle RNA". Rfam says of the family: The signal recognition particle (SRP) is a universally conserved ribonucleoprotein involved in the co-translational targeting of proteins to membranes. Lineage: Bacteria; Pseudomonadati; Pseudomonadota; Alphaproteobacteria. The record is from RNAcentral.
AAAGGGCAGUUGCGGGCAGUAUCCCCGCCAACCCGGUCAGAUCCGAAAGGAAGCAGCCGUAACGGGCCGUUAUUGGGUCGCAGCUGUCCACCGUU